UCCUACGGGGGGCAGCAGUGGGGAAUAUUGGACAAUGGGCGAAAGCCUGAUCCAGUGAUACCGCGUGGAGGAUGAAGGUCUAAGGAUUGUAAACUUCUUUUGGCGGGGACGAUAACGACGGUACCCGCAGAAUAAGCACCGGCUAACUUCGUGCCAGCAGCCGCGGUAAUACGAAGGGUGCGAGUGUUAUUCGGAAUUACUGGGCGUAAAGUAGGCGUAGGCGGAUUGAUAAGUUGGUGGUGAAAUCCCAGGGCUCAACCUUGGAACUGCCAUCAAAACUGUCUUUCUAGAGUAUGGCGGGGAUUGGGAGAAUUUCCUGUGGAGGGGUAAAAUUCGUAGAGAUAGGAAGGAAGACCGGAGGCGAAAGCGCCUGAUUACACCAUUACUGACGCUGAGGCCUGAAAGCGUGGGGAGCAAACAGGAUUAGAUACCCCGGUAGC
RNAcentral lists this ribosomal RNA (440 nucleotides) under uncultured bacterium. Its description in RNAcentral is "bacterial SSU rRNA". It matches the Rfam family "Bacterial small subunit ribosomal RNA", at positions 337 to 794 of the family's 1533-position model. The record is from RNAcentral.